Molecule: ribosomal RNA, 504 nt
Filed under: uncultured bacterium
Lineage: Bacteria
Description: partial 16S ribosomal RNA
Rfam family: Bacterial small subunit ribosomal RNA
Source: RNAcentral
GAUGAACGCUAGCGGCAGGCUUAAUACAUGCAAGUCGUGGGGCAGCAGGGGCGUAGCAAUACGCUCGCUGGCGACCGGCAAACGGGUGCGGAACACGUACACAACCUUCCUUUAAGUGGGGAAUAGCCCGGGGAAACCCGGAUUAAUACCCCGUAACAUAAUGAAGUGGCAUCGCUUUAUUAUUAUAGCUCCGGCGCUUGAAGAUGGGUGUGCGACUGAUUAGGCAGUUGGCGGGGUAACGGCCAACCAAACAUACGAUCAGUAACUGGUGUGAGAGCACGACACGUGACCAGGGCACGGAGACCCGGGCGCGACCCCUGCAGGAGGUAGCCGUAAGGAAAAUUGGUCUACGGACGCUAGUCUGAACCAGCCAUGCCGCGUGGAGGAUGAAGGUCCUCUGGAUUGUAAACUUCUUUGAUCUGGGAAGAAAACCAUGAAUUCUUGUGUGGUUGACGGUACCAGAUGAAUAAGCACCGGCUAACUCCGUGCCAGCCGCCGCGGUAA